GUAACACGUGAGUGACCUGCCUUUUAGACUGGAACACUUACAAGGUGAGCUAAUGCCGGAUGAGUUAUAUAAGUGCAUGUUUAUAUAGGAAAAGUUGGGGAGACCUGACGCUGAAAGAUGGACUCGCGUCCCAUUAGCUAGUUGGUAGGGUAAUGGCCUACCAAGGCGACGAUGGGUAGCCGGCCUGAGAGGGUGGCCGGCCACACUGGGACUGAGACACGGCCCAGACUCCUACGGAAGGCAGCAG
Molecule: ribosomal RNA, 247 nt
Filed under: uncultured bacterium
Lineage: Bacteria
Description: partial 16S ribosomal RNA
Rfam family: Bacterial small subunit ribosomal RNA
Source: RNAcentral